This 851-nucleotide long non-coding RNA is filed under the name Mus musculus (house mouse). RNAcentral describes it as "long non-coding RNA chr5:130681973-130682824". The record is from RNAcentral. Lineage: Eukaryota; Metazoa; Chordata; Mammalia; Rodentia; Muridae.
AGACCAAUAUCUAAUAGGGUUGGCUGCAGAAAGCCCUGAAACACAUGGCUAAUUAAACUGUGACCAACCAGCUAGUUAGCUGAAUAAGCUGUAGCCAGUUAAAUUAUUUUCUGUUUUACUUCCAUUUUUUUCUAUAAACACUGUCCAGUUGGUAACCUCCUUGGUGAGAGUUAAUUAAAAGCCAUUUUAAAAAUCUUUUAAAAAUACACAAAUUUGAAAUAGUGUUUUAUAGAUCACAGCUUCUCAAACUGUGGGUUGUGACACCAGAUGGGGUCAACUGCAUGUGGUGAUCACAAACAAACAAACAAACAAACACAGUAAAAGGAUUCUGAUCUAAUAGUGGCAGUGACCAAGAAAUUAACUUGAAACCAAACACAUAACCCACUGAGUCACAUCCCCAGCCCAUGAGAUACCUUCAAUACACACAUGGAAAUAGUUUGUUAACAGUUGGUACAUAUCUAUUGAAGGGACUCUGGCCAGCUUGACACUGAUAGGCAUGGCUCUGACUGGCCUUGCCUUGUCAGCCAUGUCCUCUGCCUUGCUAAAAACUGUUAGAUUACAUUCCUAAAGCUAGUCACCAAAGGUCUAUUGCCUUAUUUGGCCACUUGCUCCUCCUGAGAUUGACCACCAAGGUCCAGAUAUCAACAUAUUGAAGUUCAGCAAUCAAAAGCUCCCCUUGGCUCACCUAGUUAAAAUGUCCAAUUAAAUGCCUCAUCCUAACACAGGCAUUUACCCUUUUACCUUUAUAAGCCACCAUUUUCCUAUGGACCACUUCUGUCUCCAGAGGCAGUCCUUUAUUCCCUGGGGACAAAUACCCCUCCUCCCUCUCCCUUGUUCCCUUCCCCUAAAUG